Molecule: ribosomal RNA, 873 nt
Filed under: Staphylococcus warneri
Lineage: Bacteria; Bacillati; Bacillota; Bacilli; Caryophanales; Staphylococcaceae
Description: bacterial SSU rRNA
Rfam family: Bacterial small subunit ribosomal RNA
Source: RNAcentral
UAAUGCAGUCGAGCGAACAGAUAAGGAGCUUGCUCCUUUGACGUUAGCGGCGGACGGGUGAGUAACACGUGGAUAACCUACCUAUAAGACUGGGAUAACUUCGGGAAACCGGAGCUAAUACCGGAUAACAUAUUGAACCGCAUGGUUCAAUAGUGAAAGGCGGCUUUGCUGUCACUUAUAGAUGGAUCCGCGCCGUAUUAGCUAGUUGGUAAGGUAACGGCUUACCAAGGCAACGAUACGUAGCCGACCUGAGAGGGUGAUCGGCCACACUGGAACUGAGACACGGUCCAGACUCCUACGGGAGGCAGCAGUAGGGAAUCUUCCGCAAUGGGCGAAAGCCUGACGGAGCAACGCCGCGUGAGUGAUGAAGGUCUUCGGAUCGUAAAACUCUGUUAUCAGGGAAGAACAAAUGUGUAAGUAACUGUGCACAUCUUGACGGUACCUGAUCAGAAAGCCACGGCUAACUACGUGCCAGCAGCCGCGGUAAUACGUAGGUGGCAAGCGUUAUCCGGAAUUAUUGGGCGUAAAGCGCGCGUAGGCGGUUUUUUAAGUCUGAUGUGAAAGCCCACGGCUCAACCGUGGAGGGUCAUUGGAAACUGGAAAACUUGAGUGCAGAAGAGGAAAGUGGAAUUCCAUGUGUAGCGGUGAAAUGCGCAGAGAUAUGGAGGAACACCAGUGGCGAAGGCGACUUUCUGGUCUGUAACUGACGCUGAUGUGCGAAAGCGUGGGGAUCAAACAGGAUUAGAUACCCUGGUAGUCCACGCCGUAAACGAUGAGUGCUAAGUGUUAGGGGGUUUCCGCCCCUUAGUGCUGCAGCUAACGCAUUAAGCACUCCGCCUGGGGAGUACGACCGCAAGGUUGAAACUCAAAGGA